RNAcentral lists this ribosomal RNA (451 nucleotides) under uncultured Methanolinea sp. RNAcentral's name for it is "bacterial SSU rRNA". It matches the Rfam family "Archaeal small subunit ribosomal RNA", at positions 889 to 1338 of the family's 1478-position model. Lineage: Archaea; Methanobacteriati; Methanobacteriota; Methanomicrobia; Methanomicrobiales; Methanoregulaceae. The record is from RNAcentral.
UGGAGCCUGCGGUUUAAUUGGACUCAACGCCGGGCAGCUCACCGGAUAAGACAGCUGGAUGAUAGCCGGGCUGAAGACUCUGCUUGACUAGCUGAGAGGAGGUGCAUGGCCGUCGUCAGUUCGUACUGUGAAGCAUCCUGUUAAGUCAGGCAACGAGCGAGACCCACGCCAACAGUUGCCAGCAUGUCCUCCGGGAUGAUGGGGACACUGUUGGGACCGCCUCUGCUAAAGAGGAGGAAGGAAUGGGCAACGGUAGGUCAGCAUGCCCCGAAUUAUCCGGGCUACACGCGGGCUACAAUGGUCAGGACAAUGGGUAUCGACACCGAGAGGUGGAGGCAAUCUCCUAAACCUGUCCUUAGUUCGGAUUGUGGGCUGCAACUCGCCCACAUGAAGCUGGAAUCCGUAGUAAUCGCGUUUCAAAAUAGCGCGGUGAAUAUGUCCCCUGCUCCUU